Molecule: Y RNA, 112 nt
Filed under: Propithecus coquereli (Coquerel's sifaka)
Lineage: Eukaryota; Metazoa; Chordata; Mammalia; Primates; Indriidae
Description: Y RNA (ENSPCOG00000007885.1)
Rfam family: Y RNA
About the family: Y RNAs are components of the Ro ribonucleoprotein particle (Ro RNP), in association with Ro60 and La proteins.
Source: Rfam by way of RNAcentral
GGUUGAUCUGAAGAUAGUGAGUUAUCUCAAUUGAUUGUUCACAGUCAGUUACAGAUCAAACUCCUUGUUUACUCUUUCCCUCCUUCUCACUACUGCACUUGAUUAGUCUUUU